This 355-nucleotide unclassified non-coding RNA is filed under the name soil metagenome. RNAcentral's name for it is "partial contains 5.8S ribosomal RNA, internal transcribed spacer 2, and large subunit ribosomal RNA". The stretch from base 1 to 120 matches the Rfam family "5.8S ribosomal RNA", at positions 35 to 154 of the family's 154-position model. The record is from RNAcentral.
GAUGAAGAACGUAGCGAAAUGCGAUAAGUAAUGUGAAUUGCAGAAUUCAGUGAAUCAUCGAAUCUUUGAACGCACAUUGCGCCCAUUAGUAUUCUAGUGGGCAUGCCUGUUCGAGCGUCAUUAAGUCCACUUAAGCCCUGCUUAGUGUUGGGAGACUGCUCCAGCGGUGCUACCCUGUAGCUACCCUGCAGCUCCUCAAAGACAGCGGCGGAGUUGUGGUAUCCUCUGAGCUUAGUAACUUGUUCUAGCUUUCGAGUACACCACUUCCACUGCCGUAAAACCCUUAAUUUUUAAUGGUUGACCUCGGAUCAGGUAGGAAUACCCGCUGAACUUAAGCAUAUCAAUAAGCGGAGGA